This 1431-nucleotide ribosomal RNA is filed under the name Ralstonia solanacearum. Its description in RNAcentral is "bacterial SSU rRNA". It matches the Rfam family "Bacterial small subunit ribosomal RNA". Lineage: Bacteria; Pseudomonadati; Pseudomonadota; Betaproteobacteria; Burkholderiales; Burkholderiaceae. The record is from RNAcentral.
GCGGCAUGCCUUACACAUGCAAGUCGAACGGCAGCGGGGGUAGCUUGCUACCUGCCGGCGAGUGGCGAACGGGUGAGUAAUACAUCGGAACGUGCCCUGUAGUGGGGGAUAACUAGUCGAAAGACUAGCUAAUACCGCAUACGACCUGAGGGUGAAAGUGGGGGACCGCAAGGCCUCAUGCUAUAGGAGCGGCCGAUGUCUGAUUAGCUAGUUGGUGGGGUAAAGGCCCACCAAGGCGACGAUCAGUAGCUGGUCUGAGAGGACGAUCAGCCACACUGGGACUGAGACACGGCCCAAACUCCUACGGGAGGCAGCAGUGGGGAAUUUUGGACAAUGGGGGCAACCCUGAUCCAGCAAUGCCGCGUGUGUGAAGAAGGCCUUCGGGUUGUAAAGCACUUUUGUCCGGAAAGAAAUCCCACUGGUUAAUACCUGGUGUGUAUGACGGUACCGGAAGAAUAAGGACCGGCUAACUACGUGCCAGCAGCCGCGGUAAUACGUAGGGUCCAAGCGUUAAUCGGAAUUACUGGGCGUAAAGCGUGCGCAGGCGGUUGUGCAAGACCGAUGUGAAAUCCCCGGGCUUAACCUGGGAAUUGCAUUGGUGACUGCACGGCUAGAGUGUGUCAGAAGGAGGUAGAAUUCCACGUGUAGCAGUGAAAUGCGUAGAGAUGUGGAGGAAUACCGAUGGCGAAGGCAGCCUCCUGGGAUAACACUGACGCUCAUGCACGAAAGCGUGGGGAGCAAACAGGAUUAGAUACCCUGGUAGUCCACGCCCUAAACGAUGUCAACUAGUUGUUGGGGAUUCAUUUCCUUAGUAACGUAGCUAACGCGUGAAGUUGACCGCCUGGGGAGUACGGUCGCAAGAUUAAAACUCAAAGGAAUUGACGGGGACCCGCACAAGCGGUGGAUGAUGUGGAUUAAUUCGAUGCAACGCGAAAAACCUUACCUACCCUUGACAUGCCACUAACGAAGCAGAGAUGCAUUAGGUGCUCGAAAGAGAAAGUGGACACAGGUGCUGCAUGGCUGUCGUCAGCUCGUGUCGUGAGAUGUUGGGUUAAGUCCCGCAACGAGCGCAACCCUUGUCUCUAGUUGCUACGAAAGGGCACUCUAGAGAGACUGCCGGUGACAAACCGGAGGAAGGUGGGGAUGACGUCAAGUCCUCAUGGCCCUUAUGGGUAGGGCUUCACACGUCAUACAAUGGUGCAUACAGAGGGUUGCCAAGCCGCGAGGUGGAGCUAAUCCCAGAAAAUGCAUCGUAGUCCGGAUCGUAGUCUGCAACUCGACUACGUGAAGCUGGAAUCGCUAGUAAUCGCGGAUCAGCAUGCCGCGGUGAAUACGUUCCCGGGUCUUGUACACACCGCCCGUCACACCAUGGGAGUGGGCUUUACCAGAAGUAGUUAGCCUAACCGCAAGGAGGGCGAUUACCACGGCGGC